AUCAGGGGGUUGCGUGCGCAGCCUCCUCUGUUUCCGCCCUGAGAGCGGGCUCUUCUGAGUCGGGGAGAAUUGGGCAUCGUCACGUGCUCUGUCUGCGCCCCGAGUGGCCUCUUCUCCUCCUCCACAGACACCUCGGGGAGGGGUCAUCCUUCAGACACGCUGAGCCUAGGCUGCCCGCCCUUCCGCAGCCCCGCCCUGGCCGGCUCCUCGCGGCCCACUAGGCCGGUUCUUCCCCACGUCAGGACCCCGCCACCCCACUCUGCCCCUCCACCCGAGGCUGCCUUAUCCUUUUGCUUUCUCUCUUAAAUCUGCUGCCCGUUACUGCUAUUCUACCCUUUGGUUUGAAUGGGGAGGCACUGGCCUCGGAGCUCCUUGCUGCUGACAUCAGUUGUGCCCUUGUAGGAGACGUCCUGGUCCUGUCUGCCUCAGAGGCUUCCAUCUGCGGAUUUCCUGAGGUCGUCCCCUUACUCCUCUGCUGCAGUCUCUCUCAACAUUUCAACUGUCUGCUCCAGAAAGUUACUCUGUCACUAAGUAAAAUAAAUACAAACAAAAUA
Molecule: long non-coding RNA, 554 nt
Filed under: Homo sapiens (human)
Lineage: Eukaryota; Metazoa; Chordata; Mammalia; Primates; Hominidae
Description: HSALNT0365961
Source: RNAcentral